AUGACCAUGCCAAGUUGAAAAGUGCUGUACUUGUCCGAUCACAGAAGUUAAGCAUGUUCCGGUGCAGACAGUACUUGGGAGGAUGUCCACCUGGGAACACGCUUGUCG
Molecule: non-coding RNA, 108 nt
Organism: Nephila pilipes (giant wood spider)
Lineage: Eukaryota; Metazoa; Arthropoda; Arachnida; Araneae; Nephilidae
Source: the annotation of a GenBank genome assembly